UUUUGGUACAUUUGCGAUUUUUGAUGGUGUUUGGCUACUGUUAAAUGAAGCCCGUCUAAUAGCAGCAGGUAAACGAAAGCCCAUUUUAAAUGUGUCAAAGAACAAAGUAAAGCUCUCAAAUUCAAGAAAACUGUAUGUAUCUUUUGAUCUUGCGAAUGACUUGUGGUUUCUAUGAAGGAAAAUAGCGUAUUUAUAGUCUUCAAGAGUUUAUUGAAAUCCAAUUUUUUUGAGAAAUAAUUGUUAAAGAAUGGGGUCCAUGAGAUGAGAGAUCAUAUGGUAUUUUCCUGGAUGUCUCUUUAUAUUAAGGAUCAACAACUUCAAUAAGAGUGUUAAUAUAAUAUGCCCCACCUUCUAAAUGAAAGGCUAAUAGAUUACCCUCUUGGAAGUCAAAUGUGAUGGCUCGGUUAAACUUAAUGCUUGGUUUAUGCAUACUCAUAUUUUUGUAGACAUCCAUUAGACAUGUCACAUGUUUUCUCCGUAUUGUUAACGCGGCUCAAUGCUGACAUAUAGCUAGAUACCACAAUUCUAUUGUAGUAAUUAUAAGGUAGAUAAUGGGUUGUUGGCUACAAAUCAUAAAUGUUAGGAAGCAACAGAGAACCUUGAUCUCAGGCUUGGUCGUUACUCAUGGUUACCAGAAGAUUUUUUUUUUUGACUCAUGGUUACCGAAAGAUAGCAAGUGGAUUACAAUCCAGAAGAAAGUAAUUUAAGUUUUGACCCAAACUAGUAGUACAAAAAUACACUAUUCUGAAAAUUGAAUUUCAACAGUCCUAUAUGUAUAUAAUUGCAGUUUUUUGAAGAAAGUCCAGCAACAACUGCUUUGCCAAGAUUUUAAGGUGGAUUAUACCUCAACUUAAAAUUGUGUCGAUUGAUGACCUUUUUUUACUGCAUAAAAGAAUGAUUAGCUUGUUGAACCUUGAUUGAUGAAAAUCUGUUAACAAUUGAGGGGAACAAUGAAGUUGUUGUAUUUUAAUGUUGCGUAACUUUUUUGGUUUCCUCUAGAUAAGUUGGUAAGAGAUAAGAUAUAGAGUCAUGAAUAAAAGGCCAACAGGAAACAGCAGGCUAAGCAAGAGAUCAUGGCCUAGUUUAGAAUUUAGAUUAGUUUCUAGCUUUUAGGAACUUUCCAAUCUUCAAUUGAGAUGACUAUUUGGUUCUUAUCAAACAAAAAACAAACUUUUAAAUGGUAUUAAAUGCUUUUUAUAUUCUUAAUAUAUAUAUAUAUAUAUAAAUAUUUUCUUUCAAUAAAAAAUCAAAAUGAAAUGAAUAUUGGGUUUUCUCAUAGGUGAAUGCUUCAUCUUACAAAACCAGUCCUCCUCUGCAUGGCUAUCAAUACUUGAGUUUAUAAUAUCUAUAUUGACUUGAAAUUCAUGUUUUACUGCUGUUCUAUUUGUAGAUUAUGGCUGGACACAGAAUUGGCAAUGGAAGACUAUUCAUAAUUGUGUCAAGAAUUUGAAAAACAUGAACUCUAUAUUAUUUGAUGGGUUUAGCUUCUGUUUUAGGUGCUAAUAAGUUUAAUUGUGUUUAUAGUGCUAAUACAUGCUCUGUGCAGACACUGUUUAGUCAUGGAAUUCAACUCCUUAAACAUGUGAACUGCAAAUUUUUGUUGUCUAGUCACUCUCUUUACCAAAUGCAGGGAGAUUAUGACAAUCUUUUGAUUAGGAAAAUACAUAAUAUACAUUUUUAUGAAUAGUGGAGGAAGCUGCUAGGAACUCAGUAAAGGGUUGCCGCUAAAUGCGUGCUUUCUGACAACAACUUCAAACGACAAGUCCAUGUGAAGAGCACAGGAAGUCCUUGUGAUUGUGGUCUCCACCACCUUCUUCAAAUACCACAAGAAAAAUAAAUGUACAAAUUAAUUGGUGACUAAGGUGUUGAUUUAUGUGAUCAGUUAUCGGUCUAUUCCUUUCUUCAUUUGUAUUUCACUUCUACCGACUUGCUUCUAGAAUUCUAUCAUGAGCCAAUCAAGUUGAGAAUAUUUAUAGAUUAAAGAAAGUUUUUUCUUUCAAGAUUUAUUUGUUUGAGUUUUGUUGUGUGGCCUCAUAAGAUAUCCAAAAGAAUUACCAGGCAUGCAUUACCACAUAUAUUAUGUGAUAGACAAUUUCCUUAAAAUUGGUG
RNAcentral lists this long non-coding RNA (2109 nucleotides) under Cicer arietinum (chickpea). Its description in RNAcentral is "long non-coding RNA (CARI_LNC001539)". The record is from RNAcentral. Lineage: Eukaryota; Viridiplantae; Streptophyta; Magnoliopsida; Fabales; Fabaceae.